Long non-coding RNA from Schistocerca gregaria, 2247 nucleotides. RefSeq lists it as uncharacterized. The transcript is spliced from 7 exons. The record is from RefSeq and is a predicted model, not a curated record. NCBI's taxonomy places the organism in Eukaryota, Metazoa, Arthropoda, Insecta, Orthoptera, Acrididae.
UUCAUAUUUCUAUUGCCUAAUCAUCUAGCUCGACAAUAAGAGUGUAAAAUCGUAGUUAAACAGCUUCACAGAUUGAAUAGCUCAGAUUGGUUAGCUAAAAUGAGUGGUUUAAGUCUAAAAGAACGCCUGCACGACACGUUCAUUAAAGCAAGCAACACCGUCUCUAAGACUUCGAAUACGUCUACCUUUUUGACGACUGGGAAAUUAACACCUGAAGAGUUCGUAACAGCAGGUGACCUGUUGGUUCAUAAGUGUGGUAGUUGGAGUUGGUCUGGAUGUGACCCUAAUAGGGCAGUUAAGUAUUUACCUCCCGACAAGCAGUUUUUAUUAACAUCAAAUGUAACGUGCAAUCCAACUUCGAAGUCUAAGCAUAAUCCUGUUGUUGUUGAAGACAACUGGACCGUACUUAUCCCUGAUGAACCUUUAGAAGAAGAGAUUGAAGUACCUGCUGAAAGCUUGUACAAUGAAGGAAAUGACACAGGUGAAGAUGACGAAGUCCUGGAUGCCGAAACAUUCAGUGGUGAAAACAAUCUAUUUGAUGACGUGGACCUGGUUGUUCCUAUUGAAGAAUCACAAAAAACCAGAAGCUACACCGUUACUAUUUGCUAUAAUCAAUAUUAUCAAGUACCUCAUGUCUGGCUUUUUGGCUACGAUGAGAAUGGGCAGCCUUUGGCGCCAAAGCAGAUUUAUGAGGACAUUUCUGAAGAUUAUCGAGGACAGACUGUCACAAUCAAACCACAUCCACAUUUGGGCCUGCCCUAUGCCUCUAUUCAUCCAUGUAAGCACGCUAGCCUUAUGAAGAAGAUUAUCGAGGCCAUGAAACAUAUGGGGAAAGAACCCAAAAUUGACCUUUACUUGUUUAUCUUUCUCAAAUUUUUGUCUGCUGUCACUCCCAACAUCGAAUACGAUAACACGUUUGAUACCAAUAUUGCGUUGUAUCCUGAAAUACUAGAGUAAUCAAAAAAUGCUGUCUAUUACGUUCAGCUCAGCUCCCCCUAAAUCGGCAGCUAUCACUCUAGACUCCGGGGCCAUGUAUACACGACCGAUGAAGUGACUUAAAUCUGUCUGGUUCAGAGUAAGAUAUGCUUCACAAUAUAAAGCUGCCAUCAAUUACGUAACAAAAGACUAAGGCCGUCAGAUUUUGACUCAAGUUUUUGCCAUAUUAUUUUACAAUAUCGAAAAAAUUUUUUGGCUGGUCGUUUAGUUCGCAUCUCCUUUGCUUAUUCAAAGAAUAAAAUGCAGUUUUAUAAAACACAGGUUUGGACGUGUGGAUGGCAUUUCUCAAUUUGCACGGUCUGUCUUUUCAGUGCUACUUUAUUAUUCGCAUGUAUGCCGACUUGAAUUUGGAAAAAGGUGUACGCCUUGCAGGGUUAUAUAAUUCAGUCCCCCGAGUUCUAACGACAUGAAGGGAAAUGUACGUAUCUGCCUUAUCUGGCUUUGAGAAGCAUGGGAGAGGAGCAGACGAUAAAGGUAAUUGCGUAUUUAAGGAACACUUGAUUCUAAUAGAAAUCUGUUACGUCUGGAACCAGCACAUUCAAAAAAAUAAUGCAUAACUAGAGUAGGAGAAAAGACCUGAAAGAUACAAAACGAUGUUUCCCUUGAUGAUUUGAAUUUUUAGCUGGAGUAUUUCAAACCAUUUCUUGAUUGCGAAUCUAAAAGUUGAAGGGUCUAAAAAAUUUAUGUUUGAUGACAUUCAAAAAUAAGUCUGAGAUUUAGGCUUGCAAUGCUGAUGAUUUUGAAUUGUGUUUGACGUACACUCUGCUUGGAUCCCAUUUAAGGCAUGUCGUACGGUGUCCGCAAAUUUUACCGAUAUAGGAAUACCCAGAUCGAAGGCAAUUGACCUGACUAAGUUUGAUGCUUUGAAUGCAUACAAAAGUUCCCUAGGGAUGGAUUCAAGAAGUUGGUUAGUAGAUUUAAAUCCUUGGUCGAAGGAAUUACCGAACACAUUCCGUAAUUUUUCGAGAUCUUUCUGGCUAAACUUCGUUCCGUUGAGUCUUAUGUCAGACCUAAAGAUAUUAAUUUCGUUAAUAAGGCAGCUUUUUUAAAUGAAAAACAUAACAAAGGUGGCUUACUUAAUUCUUAAAAGCAUCAUAACUGCUAAUAGUUCAUGCAAAUCUCCAGCUCCCAGCUGACGAGAGUAAUAUUGCGUGGCGGACUUGUCCUUUUUCAAAAGUGACUGGAGUAGAUGGCAGUAGUUUAACCGAACAUCUCGCGGGAUUUCUUUAUAUAAUCCGUGGUCUAGAACGA